CGGUAAUUCCAGCUCCAAUAGCGUAUACUAAAGUUGUUGCAGUUAAAAAGCUCGUAGUUGGAUUUCUGCGGGGACGGAGCGGCCGGUCGCAACUUGCGACUCGAGCUAGCGCUUUCCCCGCAUCCUGCCGCGAACCGUGCUACCAUUAGUUUGGUGGCGCUGGGGAUCGGCUCGAUUACUUUGAGAAAAAUAGAGUGUUCAAAGCAGGCCACAUGCCUUGAAUAAGUUAGCAUGGAAUAAUGACUAAGGACUUUGGUUCUUUUCGUUGGUGUUCGGGACUGAAGUAAUGAUUGAUAGGGACAGUUGGGGCGGUCCGUAUUCCAAAGCGAGAGGUGAAAUUCUUAGACCUUCGGAAGACGAACAGCUGCGAAAGCGUUCCGCAAGGAUGUUCCCUUUGAUCAAGAACGAAAGUUGGGGGAUCGAAGACGAUCAGAUACCGUCGUAGUCUCAACUAUAAACUAUACCAGCUAGGGAUCGGCCAACGUUUAAUUAUUCGACUUGGUCGGCACCUUAUGAGAAAUCAAAGCAUCUGGGUUCCGGUGGGAGUAUGGUCGCAAGGCUGAAACUUAAAGGAAUUGACGGAAGGGCACCACCAGCCGUGGAGCCUGUGGCUUAAUUUGACUCAACACGGGAAAACUUACCAGGUCCGGACAUAGUAAGGAUUGACAGAUUGAUAGCUCUUUCUUGAUUCUGUGGGUGGUGGUGCAUGGCCGUUUUUAGUCGGUGGAUGUGAUCUGUCUGCUUAAUUGCGUUAACGGACGAGACCCCAGCCUGCUAAAUAGCGCGGCCGAGCUUUGCUCGGUGCGAGCUUCUUAGAGGGACCAUGAUGCGCGAUAGCACAAGGAAGUUUGGGGCAACAACAGGUCUGUGAUGCCCUUAGAUGUUCUGGGCCGCACACGGGCUACACUGGCGCCUGCAACGAGCAUAUCAGCUGGCCCGAGAGGGUCUUGGCUAAUCUUUGGAACCGGCGCCGUGCUUGGGAUUGACCAUUGCAAUUGUUGGUCAUGCAACGAGGAAUGCCUUGUAAACGCGAGUCAUCAGCUCGCAUUGAAUACGUCCCUGCCCUUUGUACACACCGCCCGUCGCUCCUACCGAUGAAUGUUCCGAUGAAAUUUUCGGAGAGCACCAGAGAACGGGGCUCUGCCUUGCAGAUCUGGAGGCUCAAAGUCACUUAAAUCUGAACAUUUCGAGGAAGGAGAAGUCGUAACAAGGUAGCCG
RNAcentral lists this ribosomal RNA (1218 nucleotides) under uncultured Rhizaria. RNAcentral's name for it is "SSU rRNA". It matches the Rfam family "Eukaryotic small subunit ribosomal RNA", at positions 577 to 1805 of the family's 1831-position model. The record is from RNAcentral.